Non-coding RNA from Phoenix dactylifera (date palm), 619 nucleotides. The record is from RefSeq and is a predicted model, not a curated record. NCBI's taxonomy places the organism in Eukaryota, Viridiplantae, Streptophyta, Magnoliopsida, Arecales, Arecaceae.
CUUUCUUCUUCCUUCCCGAAGCUUCUCCCUUUCUUCUUCCAUUUCCACCGCGAUCUCCUCCCCCUCUUCUUCUCCUCUCCUCUCAUGAGGCAAGGAGGCUCGGGAGGGACGGGCAACGGCCGACGGCGCCCGGCACCCGGCCUACAGCGCCCACGGUCGCGCCCACGACCGUGCCUGCGGUCGUGCCCAUGGCCGCGUCGGCGUCCCACAUCCCACGGCCGACGACCCGCGGCUCGCAUCCCACGGCCAACGACCCACGGCGGAGGUCGGCGCCCACGGAUCGACCACCGGUUAAUAGUCUAAGACAGGAGCGGCAAAUUUUGGCCUCAUGCAGAUCCGUUACAAUUGUGACUGGUGCAAGUUCACUGAAAGAUCGGCACAGAACCCCCUCCCUCUUUUUCAGAUGAUGCUUGUUAAUAUGCAAGUAUUCUGUAUUUUGUUUGCAAGAUUUGGAGUCCAUGUUUAUAAGUUUUGGAUAUCCAGAUGUUUAUGAGCAUGACAGUUCUUUUGCAUCACACUGAAUCAGUUCAUAAGUAGUAAAGUGAAAAAAACAAUAUUCUGCACUACUGUUUUUUGUUGGAUCAGUUGCUGCAAGAUAACAAUAUACCUAGUUGUUACA